ACGUCAUUUUCAGCUUGGACAUCUGACUUCCGAGAUAACUCGAAUCUAGCAUGAUUCCCUGCAAAAAUAGCCAUUUAAGUUGGAACCUAAGUUGGAACUCCAAGUUGGAGUUAUUCCAUUUUUGCUUUUUUUUCCCAAAAAUUUAAAAACAUCCUUUGCCAGAAUUAUACUAAAGCCAAAUCUUAUUUUUUUAACUGACAUAAUUAAAAACAUAUUAUAGUUUGAAAAAUAAUAUUUAGCUUCACGUAUAUUAGCUGCAUUUUAUGGAAGACGAUUAGGACCACUGGAAAAAAUAAUAAAAUAAUAAAAAAAAUGUAAUUUUUAUGGUCAUUAUUCUGAGGGGAAAAGACUGGAUUCUGAGAUUUUAUCCUGACUUUAAUCUCAGAAUAAUCAAUUUCUAAAAAAUUGUAUCUGACUUUUUUUUCCAGUGGCCCUAAUCCUCUUCCGUAGCAUGUGCAACAUGGAUUUUAAGAACUUUUUUUUCACUUUUUGAAACCAGAAAAGAGAACGAUUGCUAUUUUCUUGAGAUAUUUUAAAAGUUUUCAAUAAAAAACUUUAUGUAAACUUUGAUUUUCAUGUAACUCGUUUCAUCUCUGCUCGUUAAAAUCUCCCUCCAGAUCAGAGUCCGCUGUGAAUCCAGCCUCCGGGCUUUGCGAGUCGCCGCUCUGCAGGGCAGAUGUUGCUCAUUCUGAAGCAAACACUAUCAGGAAUCAAAUGGACCAUUUCAGGGCGCUCUGUCUUUGUCUGUGUCACUCGCCCAGAGAGAGAGAUAGAGAGAGGCGGUCUGUGAAUGAUUUGCAUAACUACAUGCUCUUCUUGUUGAGAUGUCCUCAUGUGAUUAGAGACACUGAUGAAUAUGUUUGGACUGAUUUAUCGGAGCAGGAUGUCGGCGGUUGCAACAGAGGAAAUCAUGUUUGAUCAGUUUGUGUUCCACUUUUUCCCACAAAUGUUAAAAAGUGACAUCUUAGUCAGAGCUGAUGAUAAAAACAAAACCCUAAACCAAUAAAAUCACUGACUUUUGUUUUCACAACAUCACUGAUAUGUAAAAACAUUUUAUCACCGUCAUUAAAAUGUUCCUCGUUUGUAGUAUUUUGAUUUUUUUUCCCAUGUUAAUCGCUCACACAUUCAGGUUCUGCCAGGAUUUAUUCCCAUCAUAAAACACUAAUGAAUAACUGUUUCAAAAAAUAAGACAAAAAAAUCAGCAGAAUUGAGUUUGUUUUUAUAUGAGAAAACCUGAUAUAAACAAGAACAGAGAACAAAAGCACAAUAAAAAGUAAUGAAAAACACUCGAUAUUCGGUGCGUUAGCUGAGUCAUCUGUUAUGUUUUCAGUCUACUGCGAAAUAGGACCACCGUGUUCUGGAGCGACGGCAAGAAAAAACAACAUUUUUAACUUAAUUUAUGCAGAUCAGGUAAUUACAGACUCAGAGAGAUGGUGCUGAAAGAGAGGAGCCUUCCUCCAUCGGUUUGUAAUGCGAACAGGGAAAAACAGGAACACAAAGGCCAAACCGGAGUCUGCUGUGGCGAAGACGAGACGUCUUUUUACCUACAACCAGAGGUGGGGGAAAGUCCUUAUGUUGCAAGUCCAAGUCGAGUCUCAAGUCUUUGCUCUCAAGUCCGAGGGAAGUCCAAGUCCUUUGCUCUCAAGUCUCGAGUCAAGUCCAAGUCAACACAACACAGACAAGUCCCAAGUCAAGUCCAAGUCCUUUGCUCUCAAGUCUCGAGUAAAGUCCAAGUCAAGACAGACAGGUCCCAAGUCAAGUCCAAGUCCUUUUCUCUCAAGCCUCGAGUAAAGUCCAAGUCAACACAGACAAGUCCCAAGUCAAGUCCAAGUCCUGAACUUUUUGCUUCGAGUCCCAACCAAGUCCUAGGAAUUUUGCUUCAAGUCCCAACCAAGUCCUUACCGUUUCUUUCGAGUCAAAAACAAGUGCAACACGUGGAAACAGUUGGGCAAUACUAGCGAGGGAUUUAUGUUCAGUCCUCCCGGUGUUGUCGUUAUGAGGGAGGCUAGAGUUUGAGACAGUGUUGCCAAGUUUCAUGAGAGAAAUAACGAAACAGACCUCCAGAAACAAGACAAAAACAAGCAAAUUUUUUUUGCGGGAAUAAGCAGACUUGGCAACACAACACGGUGUUACCAACGGCCGUAAUUCCUGACUAUUAGUUGAUGCAACACUUUUUAAACAGUUUGGGCUGUAAGGUAUUAAGUGACUUGAAAAGACUUGAAAAGACUUUUCAAGUCACUGGGCUCAAGUCAAGUCUCAAGUCUUUAGCAAUCAAGUCCCAAGCAAGUCCAAGUCAUUUCUCGAUUUCAUCAAGCAAGUCAAAAACGGGACUCAAGUCCAAGUCGAGUCUCGAGUCGAGUCGUCAACCCCCCACCUCUGCCUACUACCUCCUAAGUACUACCUGAAAAUGCCCAGAGUUUUUACUUGGAGAAGCUCAAACUGUAAAACAGUCGACCUCAAAAACGUACUUUUAACCAACUUUCUGCAAAAUAUCGAGUAGAGGUGAUCGAUGAGUCUACUGGGAAAAGCAGCCUCGCUUUGAUUCGGUGGGUUUUAUUCACAGGCGACAAACAAAAGCUGUUUGGGUAAAAAGGAAAAACACCCAAAAGUGUCGAUUAGAAACCGCCAAUUCAUCCCAAAAUACUCUCUCCCUCCCCCACGCCUCGCUCGAGUCCAUUCAGCGCCCAGUUCCCCAUUCAUCUCAAUAGUCCGUGGAAGGAGGACGUCAUUACGCGCCAACAGCAUGCGUUGGCUGCGGUCAAGUGCCACGCGCUCGGCCUCUCUUCCGUUAAGCAGAUAAAAGGUGGCAUCUGUCUUUAUUGUGCGAGUAAAUCCCCUCCGCCAUUGACCGCAGACACUUCACAUGUUGAUGAGGAGGAGGACGUAUAGACGGAGGCCCCCGCUGCUUUGUUCCCCAGAGGAGGAGGAGGAGGGAGGACGGGGAGAGGAGGAGGCAGUUUAUGCAAAUCAAACAAACCGUUUGUGAUUUCCAU
Non-coding RNA from Xyrichtys novacula (pearly razorfish), 2993 nucleotides. The record is from the annotation of a GenBank genome assembly. Lineage: Eukaryota; Metazoa; Chordata; Actinopteri; Labriformes; Labridae.